RNAcentral lists this non-coding RNA (30 nucleotides) under Mus musculus (house mouse). Lineage: Eukaryota; Metazoa; Chordata; Mammalia; Rodentia; Muridae. The record is from RNAcentral.
CCUGCCUUUACUAUAAUCUGGAUUGAUUUG